AUGUUUCUGAAUUAUGGGAUGAGUAAAAUAUCAGCAAGGAAGUUUUCAAAAAAAAUGCAGUAAUACAGUUUAACAGAUCCUCCCAAAGAGAAAUGAAUGAUAGUUUAUGAUAUAAUUAACUCAAAGUAAAAUGGUGAAAUGUUUACAAACCAACAAAUAACAAGUAACUUGACUCGUAAUUGUAGACUUGAGUCAAGCAUAAAACUGGGCAAGGCCAACUUUAUGCUAACAGACUAACUUCACUGAUUUUCUGCUGGAUUUUUUUCAAGAUCACAUGAAUAAUGAUUUAUUUUCCAGGCGUCACCAAAUGUGGAACAUGAUUUAUGCUAACAGGCUUGGAUUUGUGGAACACCAGAAGAGCCACCACCAAAUUUCAGGGAUAAAUAUUCAUUUUUGGAAAUAUGUACUGAUGAAUGGAAGAAGUCAAUUUCAGGGGGAAAAAAAUAGGAACACAAUCUCUUCUAUAGGACUUUGUUGAUCACAGCAGAUUUCACCACCUACGAAGCAUAAUGUUUUUUUUUUCCAAUGUGAUGGAGACUCAUGACUUCUCAAUCACUAACUGUUGCUUAAUCUCUUUGUAUUGCUGCCUCUUCUUGUCAAAUAAUCUCCUACUUCAAAGGGUCAGGUCUUUGACGAGCAAAACCUGGCUGAAGAAGCAUGGAAGGAGCUGCAGCAGGUUCUGCAAUUACAUGACCUCUUGUUUUUCUUCCAUUUAGUGUAGUCACAGAUGGGCUGUUAGCUGUUGUUAUGUCCCAAAAGCUUCGUUUCUUUGUAGUCGGAACCGGUGACUUGAAGCGGUUACUUGGACUCUUCAAUUCACCCAUGUUUGAUUCCUUUGGUCGCAAGCUAGCCCUGGUAACCACCCUCUUUGCCCCUUCCUUUGGAACUCCUACUAAUGAUUUCUCACUCUUUCGAGAAAGCUCACGAAUACGUUCAUCCUUCUGUUUUAUCUGUAACGCAUGAUCUUUCUUCAUUCUCUCAACCUCUGCCUCUAAUGCCUUGAUAGUCCGCUGAAGCUCUCUAACUGUUUCUUCUUCUCCCUUUUUCCUGGAUUCAGGAGUGAAACAGUUCCUAGCUAAAAAGGAAGGCCUAGCUUUUCUUUUUUCAUUUGGUUGGGUAUUAGGAGUUAAGAGAGAGGAAAUUGAUGGAGGGGUUGGGGAGGCAUUUGCAGCCAAGGAUUGUGCUUGGAGGGUUAGUAGCUUUUGUUGCUGGCGAGCUAAUUGUACUCGCAAUUCACGGUUCUCUUUUUGCAGUUCAAGUAAUAGCUUGGCCUGAUCAGUUUCAGUUUCUGGCAGAUGUUGUAUUUCCACAUUUGCCUCGCAUGCCUUGGUUCGGAUCUCCUUUGCUCGAUCAGCCCAAUGCAGGGUGUUUUGAGUUUCACCAAAUGAGAGAUUGCUUGGACUGAUAUUUGCAAUCAUUACAGUGUUGCAAGCUCCUCCUAAUGAGUCCUUGAGAAGUUGAGUGAGCUUGGAGUUUCGGUAUGGUAUGUGUUUCUUACCCUCAACAAGGGCAUUGAUGCAGCUGCUUAGUGCAAGGAGCGAUCGAUUUAUGUUUGCACCCUCAAGUGAUCUAAGAGUUCUCUGAUCAGUUGCUAAGGCUCUCUCUGAUCCCGCAAGAUCAAUGAGUGAGAGCUUCCCCACUCUAUUGACAACAUUCAUUGAAGCAUCCUUAACUCGGUAUUCAACGACAACCUGCAGAAUAGCAUGUGAUCGUGAAGAGGUUUCAUUCGCACGAGUCGGUUCAGUUGUUCGGUUUUGAUUUCCCCGUUGAAGCAAUGCCAUUACUUCGUCUGUAGAAUAAGCUCUGUACUGAGUGAGGCCGGCUGCUAUAAUUCCCUGUUACAUUGGAACAAAUAUCAUUCAAGACAGUUCAAAUCUAUAAUAUGAACAAAUUAUAAACUUCAAAAACUUUAGGUCCUUGAGGAAAAUUGACAGGCCAUAGAUAACAAAAAAGUUGAACCUGGAAAAGAAGAAAUAGAGGGAAUGUUAACACAGUGUGACAGUGUCAAUCUAGCAAAAGCAUCAGAAAUUUUUAUUUUAUUUUCUGGUAAGCAAAAUAGAGGAAUAAAUUGAAUAUAAAAAAGAAGGCAGACCUGUUUAUCUUCUCUAAGCACUAGAGGCCUUCCAGGAGAGAGCAAAUCUCUGACAGUUUCAUUAUAAACUUCAAGAUAUGAAAGAUGAACAGCAUGGUUUCCAUCACAGCUCCUCUGUCUAAUCUUAGUGAAAAGAUCCUUAAUUGCCAAAACCAUCACUCCAGGAUUCUCCACUGUCCCUAGCAUUGUGUAUGUUUUCCCAGCACCAGUGGCACCAUAGCAAAAUACUGAUCCAUUCCUUCCUUGCAACACUGCUUCUACAAGCUCUACUGUCGUGGUAGAAUAAACUUCCUGUUGAGAAGUUGAAUCCGAAAACGAAGCAUCAAAGGUGAAAUGGCGUCCACGAACCCUCUUUAGCCUAAGAUAAUCAUUAUCAUUAGGAAACUCAGUCAAAUACACAUCUUUCCUAUUCACAAUCUUCACACAGCAGCGCAAUCCUGCCUCUCUUUCCUUCUUGAACAUAGGCCUAAGCCUCACAAACACUAAGAUGCGGCUUCCACUAGCCUCAUUUUUCUCCGAAACAGAUUCUAAUUUUUCCACUUCUAGCACAUUUUCUUUCCCAAGAAACUCUCUUGGCUCUGUUUGUGGCACUGAACUUCCCAUCGAAAGCUUCCUAGCGACUGUAGUCGAAACAUUGGCCUUUCUUGGAAACGAAGGGAACCCAAUAAAACGAUCCGGACCCAUCACAAGAUUCUCCUUAGCAACAUCCACAGGUGGCUGUGGCAACAGAAAGGUUCUUGUGACUGCUGAAUUAAGUUUCGCAUUAGGCAAUGUAGGCACCGUGGGCAUUGUGUUCUCUCUCAUUACAUUGUCUUGCUCAGAAUCUUUAGUUUCUUUAAAAUCUCUCUCGUUUUUUUUGCAAGAACUGAGGAGAUCCACGCUUGGAUGUGUCGAGAAUCGUUUCUCUUCAGGUUUGGGGGAGAGGUUCCGAAGAGUUGAAGAAGCUUUCUUUUGCUGCUCAUAUAACAGAGUCAAAGCUUUCAUCUUCUCUUUCAAGCCAUGGUGGGGAUUUCUCAAUGGAAAGCUCACAUGGGUCUCUUCUUGAUCCGAGCUAGGUCUUGUUCUUUGCACUGUGUUUGGACCAUUUUGGUCUUGGCUGUUGAUAUGAGACCUGGUUGACACUGGCAUUCUAAAUUUUCUAGCUAUUCAAACAUGCCUGUUUUUUUUCUCCAAACCAGUUCGAGUAACUGCUCAAAAUGCAAGAAAGUUUUGAAAUUUCCCUGGAAAGUUGAGUGAUUGAUGGGAUAUGGAACUGAGUUGAAGCUAAAAGGAGAAAUGGAAAGAGAGGGAAGAUCAAGAUUGCAACUUUGUGAGUUAAUUUUGGGGCGACUCGGAGCUGUUAAUUUGGAGUAAGAUCCGACGGCUA
RNAcentral lists this unclassified non-coding RNA (3458 nucleotides) under Hevea brasiliensis (rubber tree). The record is from RNAcentral. Lineage: Eukaryota; Viridiplantae; Streptophyta; Magnoliopsida; Malpighiales; Euphorbiaceae.